UAGAAAGACGUGUUGCUCGACAUC
Molecule: non-coding RNA, 24 nt
Filed under: Arabidopsis thaliana (thale cress)
Lineage: Eukaryota; Viridiplantae; Streptophyta; Magnoliopsida; Brassicales; Brassicaceae
Source: RNAcentral